This 249-nucleotide long non-coding RNA is filed under the name Elaeis guineensis (African oil palm). RNAcentral describes it as "long non-coding RNA (EGUI_LNC078382)". The record is from RNAcentral. Lineage: Eukaryota; Viridiplantae; Streptophyta; Magnoliopsida; Arecales; Arecaceae.
ACAGAAUGAGUUGAAAUAAUUAAAAUCUUACAUCUAGAACAAUAUGUACAUAUGUACGUGGAUGUGUGUUGGACCACAUAUUUUAUACCAACUCUUGAAAUAAGAGUUAAUAAUUUAAAAUUAUUGAUAAACUAUUCAAAUUUUAAGAUCCAAACAGUUGGACAUGAUCUAUACUACAAAAAAUAUCUAAUGUUGGGAUAAAUCAAUCGGCCCCCGACUCAAGUCAAUCAACCUCGACUUCGCUUCAAG